Long non-coding RNA from Hypanus sabinus (Atlantic stingray), 708 nucleotides. RefSeq lists it as uncharacterized. Lineage: Eukaryota; Metazoa; Chordata; Chondrichthyes; Myliobatiformes; Dasyatidae. The record is from RefSeq and is a predicted model, not a curated record. The transcript has 3 exons.
GUGGGGUAUCUAGGCUCCAGACACUUGUAUUUUGUUUUCCAAGCAACAGACAAGAUGUUGGAGGAUCUCAGGUCAGGCAGCAUCUACAGAAGAAAGUACAAUCGACUUCAUCAGGACUGGACAAAAAACAAGAUGAGGAGCCGGAGUAAGAAGGUGGGUGAGGGCCAGGUGGAGGGUGGUGGCAAUGGCGUCAUCUGUUGAAUGGUUGGGAUGAUACACGAACUGCUGUGGGUCCGUUGAGGGAGUACAGGAGCCUGAAGACGCAUACCCAAAGUUUCAAGAACAUUUUCUUUCCCUCUGCCAUCAGAUUUCUGAAUGAACAUUGAAGCCAUGAACACUACCUUACUGCUUUUGCUCUUGUUUUGCACUACUUAUUUAAUUAAUUUUUUAUACCUUAUUGUAAUUUAUGGUAUUUUUAUGUAUUGCACUGUACUGCUGCCACAAACAACAAAUUUCAUUACACAUUCCAGUGAUAUUAAAUCUGAUUCUGAUAUCCAUUUGUUAAUACCACAAAUGAACAAUUCUGGAUGUAGUUUCAAUGGUGUUUAUUUUAUUUCAUUCAAUUUAAUGAAUUAUAAUUUGUUUGUUUGUUUGUCUACUUAUUUAGAGAUAUAGCAUAGAAUAGUGUCCUCCCGUCCUUCGAGCCGCACUACCCGGCAACACCUGAUUUAACCCCAGCCUAAUCACAGGACAAUGUACGAUGACCAG